GAUGAAGAACGUAGCGAAAUGCGAUACGUAAUGUGAAUUGCAGAAUUCAGUGAAUCAUCGAAUCUUUGAACGCAUAUUGCGCUCUCUGGUAUUCCGGAGAGCAUGCUUGUUUGAGUAUCAGUAAACACCUCAACUUCCAUAUCUUUUUUGAAAUGGGAGUUGUACUUGAGUGAUCCCAACGCUUUUCCUCACCGAAAAGUGGCGGGUUACUUGAAAUGCAGGUGCAGCUGGACUUUUCUCUGAGCUAUAAGCAUAUCUACUUAGUCUGCCUAAAAAACAGAUUAUUACCUUUGCUGCAGCUAACAUAAAGGAGAUUAGUUCUUGUGCUGACUGAUGCAGGAUUCACAAAGACGGCUUCGGCCGACUUUGUAAACUCGAUCUCAAAUCAAGUAAGACUACCCGCUGAACUUAAGCAUAUCAAUAAGCGGAGGA
Molecule: unclassified non-coding RNA, 432 nt
Filed under: soil metagenome
Description: partial contains 5.8S ribosomal RNA, internal transcribed spacer 2, and large subunit ribosomal RNA
Rfam family: 5.8S ribosomal RNA (bases 1-120)
Source: RNAcentral